RNAcentral lists this ribosomal RNA (293 nucleotides) under uncultured bacterium. RNAcentral describes it as "partial 16S ribosomal RNA". It matches the Rfam family "Bacterial small subunit ribosomal RNA", at positions 505 to 796 of the family's 1533-position model. The record is from RNAcentral.
GUGCCAGCCGCCGCGGUAAGACGAACCGUGCGAACGUUAUUCGGAAUCACUGGGCUUAAAGCGCGUGUAGGCGGGCCAUCACGUCGGUCGCUGAAAGCCCCCGGCUCAACCGGGGAAGGGGCGCCGAUACGAGUGGCCUGGAGGCAGGUAGGGGGAGCCGGAACUGCCGGUGGAGCGGUGAAAUGCGUUGAGAUCGGCAGGAACGCCCGUGGCGAAAGCGGGCUCCUGGACCUCGCCUGACGCUGAGACGCGAAAGCCAGGGGAGCGAACGGGAUUAGAUACCCUCGUAGUCC